GAUCAACGCUAGCUACAGGCUUAACACAUGCAAGUCGAGGGGAAACGACAUUGAAGCUUGCUUCGAUGGUCGUCGACCGGCGCACGGGUGAGUAACGCGUAUCCAACCUGCCUCUGACCAAGGGAUAACCCGUCGAAAGUCGGCCUAAUACCUUAUGCAGUCGUCGGAAGUCAUCUGAUGACGACGAAAGAUUUCAUCGGUGAGAGAUGGGGAUGCGUCUGAUUAGCUUGUUGGCGGGGUAACGGCCCACCAAGGCAACGAUCAGUAGGGGUUCUGAGAGGAAGGUCCCCCACAUUGGAACUGAGACACGGUCCAAACUCCUACGGGAGGCAGCAGUGAGGAAUAUUGGUCAAUGGGCGAGAGCCUGAACCAGCCAAGUAGCGUGCAGGAUGACGGCCCUAUGGGUUGUAAACUGCUUUUAUGCGGGGAUAAAGUGAGGGACGUGUCCUUCAUUGCAGGUACCGCAUGAAUAAGGACCGGCUAAUUCCGUG
RNAcentral lists this ribosomal RNA (491 nucleotides) under uncultured bacterium. RNAcentral's name for it is "partial 16S ribosomal RNA". It matches the Rfam family "Bacterial small subunit ribosomal RNA", at positions 28 to 507 of the family's 1533-position model. The record is from RNAcentral.